This 164-nucleotide ribosomal RNA is filed under the name Allium eduardii. Its description in RNAcentral is "5.8S ribosomal RNA". It matches the Rfam family "5.8S ribosomal RNA". From Rfam's summary of the family: 5.8S ribosomal RNA (5.8S rRNA) is a component of the large subunit of the eukaryotic ribosome. The record is from RNAcentral. Lineage: Eukaryota; Viridiplantae; Streptophyta; Magnoliopsida; Asparagales; Amaryllidaceae.
UGAAUGACUCCUGGCAAUGGAUAUCUUGGCUCUCGUGUCGAUGAAGAACGUAGCGAAAUGCGACACUUGGUGUGAAUUGCAGAAUCCCGUGAACCAUCGAGUCUUUGAAUGCAAGUUGCGCUCAAGGCCAUUAGGUCGAGGGCACGUCUGUUUGGGUGUCAUGC